Alosa alosa (allis shad) is the source of this 123-nucleotide small nucleolar RNA. RefSeq annotates it as small nucleolar RNA ACA64. The transcript has a single exon. Lineage: Eukaryota; Metazoa; Chordata; Actinopteri; Clupeiformes; Clupeidae. The record is from RefSeq and is a predicted model, not a curated record.
AUAGACUAUAGUUAUGCCCAUUGCCGUAAGUGGGGGUAAGAUUACUGUGCCAACAAUAAUGUGGCUCAUCAAAGCUUAUUCCCAGUCCCAUGUGGCUGUGCAAUAACCCAUGUGCCCACACUC